GUUUUUAUUUAACUUUGAAAGAUGACUACUUUUUUUCGAAGAAACGCUUUUAUUUCUAAAUUCUUCUAGUAUCAUUAUUGAUGGUUUCUUAAAACAAUUAUUAAGUUAAGAGACAUGUCUUAUAAUAGCUUAUAACUAACAAAAGUCUCUUAAAACACUUUUGUUAGAUAUAAGAUAUAUCUCUUAACUAAGAGUUAUGUUAAGAGACCAUCAAUAAGGAUAGUCUAACGUUUAUUAUGAAAACAUAUAAAAACCUACGAUUUCAGGGUAUUAGAAUCCGUCAAAUCUGUUUAUAACUUUUUGAACUUUAAGUUAUGUUGUUUCAAGAAUAUAGAUACAGAUCAAUAAACAUAAAAUAUAUGUUCACUUAACUGAAUAAGUAACAAAUAGAAAAACCAAUUUUUACAGAACUGAAAACUUACUUUAGGAUUUUUUCUCCUUCUAGUAAAAACAACGUAUAAAUAGCCUCUACAAUAAUAUACAAAGCUUUC
Molecule: small RNA, 491 nt
Filed under: Arabidopsis thaliana (thale cress)
Lineage: Eukaryota; Viridiplantae; Streptophyta; Magnoliopsida; Brassicales; Brassicaceae
Description: ATSL025930
Source: RNAcentral